UCCUACGGGGGGCAGCAGUGGGGAAUAUUGCGCAAUGGGGGAAACCCUGACGCAGCAACGCCGCGUGAGUGAGGAAGUAUCUCGGUAUGUAAAGCUCUAUCAGCGGGGAAGAAGGAAGACGGUACCCGACUAAGAAGCCCCGGCUAACUACGUGCCAGCAGCCGCGGUAAUACGUAGGUGGCAAGCGUUAUCCGGAUUUAUUGGGUGUAAAGGGCGUGUAGGCGGGAAAGCAAGUCAGAUGUGAAAACUCAGGGCUCAACCCUGAGCCUGCAUUUGAAACUGUUUUUCUUGAGUGCUGGAGAGGC
RNAcentral lists this ribosomal RNA (305 nucleotides) under uncultured bacterium. RNAcentral describes it as "bacterial SSU rRNA". It matches the Rfam family "Bacterial small subunit ribosomal RNA", at positions 337 to 658 of the family's 1533-position model. The record is from RNAcentral.